GACGAACGCUGGCGGCGUGCUUAACACAUGCAAGUCGAACGGAAAGGCCCUGCUUUUGUGGGGUGCUCGAGUGGCGAACGGGUGAGUAACACGUGAGUAACCUGCCCUUGACUUUGGGAUAACUUCAGGAAACUGGGGCUAAUACCGGAUAGGAGCUCCUGCUGCAUGGUGGGGGUUGGAAAGUUUCGGCGGUUGGGGAUGGACUCGCGGCUUAUCAGCUUGUUGGUGGGGUAGUGGCUUACCAAGGCUUUGACGGGUAGCCGGCCUGAGAGGGUGACCGGCCACAUUGGGACUGAGAUACGGCCCAGACUCCUACGGGAGGCAGCAGUGGGGAAUAUUGCACAAUGGGCGGAAGCCUGAUGCAGCAACGCCGCGUGCGGGAUGACGGCCUUCGGGUUGUAAACCGCUUUCGCCUGUGACGAAGCGUGAGUGACGGUAAUGGGUAAAGAAGCACCGGCUAACUACGUGCCAGCAGCCGCGGUGAUACGUAGGGUGCGAGCGUUGUCCGGAUUUAUUGGGCGUAAAGGGCUCGUAGGUGGUUGAUCGCGUCGGAAGUGUAAUCUUGGGGCUUAACCCUGAGCGUGCUUUCGAUACGGGUUGACUUGAGGAAGGUAGGGGAGAAUGGAAUUCCUGGUGGAGCGGUGGAAUGCGCAGAUAUCAGGAGGAACACCAGUGGCGAAGGCGGUUCUCUGGGCCUUUCCUGACGCUGAGGAGCGAAAGCGUGGGGAGCGAACAGGCUUAGAUACCCUGGUAGUCCACGCUGUAAACGGUGGGUACUAGGUGUGGGGUCCAUUCCACGGGUUCCGUGCCGUAGCUAACGCUUUAAGUACCCCGCCUGGGGAGUACGGCCGCAAGGCUAAAACUCAAAGGAAUUGACGGGGCCCCGCACAAGCGGCGGAGCAUGCGGAUUAAUUCGAUGCAACGCGUAGAACCUUACCUGGGUUUGACAUGGAUCGGGAGUGCUCAGAGAUGGGUGUGCCUCUUUUGGGGUCGGUUCACAGGCGGUGCAUGCCUGUCGUCAGCUCGUGUCGUGAGAUGUUGGGUUAAGUCCCGCAACGAGCGCAACCCUUGUUCACUGUUGCCAGCACGUUAUGGUGGGGACUCAGUGGAGACCGCCGGGGUCAACUCGGAGGAAGGUGGGGAUGACGUCAAGUCAUCAUGCCCCUUAUGUCCAGGGCUUCACGCAUGCUACAAUGGCUGGUACAGAGAGUGGCGAGCCUGUGAGGGUGAGCGAAUCUCGGAAAGCCGGUCUCAGUUCGGAUUGGGGUCUGCAACUCGACCUCAUGAAGUCGGAGUCGCUAGUAAUCGCAGAUCAGCAACGCUGCGGUGAAUACGUUCCCGGG
RNAcentral lists this ribosomal RNA (1343 nucleotides) under uncultured bacterium. RNAcentral describes it as "16S ribosomal RNA". It matches the Rfam family "Bacterial small subunit ribosomal RNA", at positions 28 to 1378 of the family's 1533-position model. The record is from RNAcentral.